RNAcentral lists this ribosomal RNA (253 nucleotides) under uncultured bacterium. RNAcentral describes it as "partial 16S ribosomal RNA". It matches the Rfam family "Bacterial small subunit ribosomal RNA", at positions 524 to 776 of the family's 1533-position model. The record is from RNAcentral.
UACGGGGGGGGUAAGCGUUGUUCGGAAUUACUGGGCGUAAAGGGCUCGUAGGCGGCCAACUAAGUCGGACGUGAAAUCCCUCAGCUUAACUGGGGAACUGCGUCCGAUACUGGAUGGCUUGGAUUUGGGAGAGGGAUGCGGAAUUCCAGGUGUAGCGGUGAAAUGCGCAGAUAUCAGGAAGAACACCAAUGGCGAAGGCAGCACUCUGGGACGUGACUGACGCUGAGACGCGAAAGCGUGGGGAGCAAACAGG